Molecule: non-coding RNA, 21 nt
Filed under: Arabidopsis thaliana (thale cress)
Lineage: Eukaryota; Viridiplantae; Streptophyta; Magnoliopsida; Brassicales; Brassicaceae
Source: RNAcentral
GGGUUUGUGGUGUAUUCAGCC